CGCUGGCGGCGUGCUUAACACAUGCAAGUCGAACGGAAAGGCCCUGCUUUUGUGGGGUGCUCGAGUGGCGAACGGGUGAGUAACACGUGAGUAACCUGCCCUUGACUUUGGGAUAACUUCAGGAAACUGGGGCUAAUACCGGAUAGGAGCUCCUGCUGCAUGGUGGGGGUUGGAAAGUUUCGGCGGUUGGGGAUGGACUCGCGGCUUAUCAGCUUGUUGGUGGGGUAGUGGCUUACCAAGGCUUUGACGGGUAGCCGGCCUGAGAGGGUGACCGGCCACAUUGGGACUGAGAUACGGCCCAGACUCCUACGGGAGGCAGCAGUGGGGAAUAUUGCACAAUGGGCGGAAGCCUGAUGCAGCAACGCCGCGUGCGGGAUGACGGCCUUCGGGUUGUAAACCGCUUUCGCCUGUGACGAAGCGUGAGUGACGGUAAUGGGUAAAGAAGCACCGGCUAACUACGUGCCAGCAGCCGCGGUGAUACGUAGGGUGCGAGCGUUGUCCGGAUUUAUUGGGCGUAAAGGGCUCGUAGGUGGUUGAUCGCGUCGGAAGUGUAAUCUUGGGGCUUAACCCUGAGCGUGCUUUCGAUACGGGUUGACUUGAGGAAGGUAGGGGAGAAUGGAAUUCCUGGUGGAGCGGUGGAAUGCGCAGAUAUCAGGAGGAACACCAGUGGCGAAGGCGGUUCUCUGGGCCUUUCCUGACGCUGAGGAGCGAAAGCGUGGGGAGCGAACAGGCUUAGAUACCGUGGUAGUCCACGCUGUAAACGGUGGGUACUAGGUGUGGGGUCCAUUCCACGGGUUCCGUGCCGUAGCUAACGCUUUAAGUACCCCGCCUGGGGAGUACGGCCGCAAGGCUAAAACUCAAAGGAAUUGACGGGGCCCCGCACAAGCGGCGGAGCAUGCGGAUUAAUUCGAUGCAACGCGUAGAACCUUACCUGGGUUUGACAUGGAUCGGGAGUGCUCAGAGAUGGGUGUGCCUCUUUUGGGGUCGGUUCACAGGUGGUGCAUGGCUGUCGUCAGCUCGUGUCGUGAGAUGUUGGGUUAAGUCCCGCAACGAGCGCAACCCUUGUUCACUGUUGCCAGCACGUUAUGGUGGGGACUCAGUGGAGACCGCCGGGGUCAACUCGGAGGAAGGUGGGGAUGACGUCAAGUCAUCAUGCCCCUUAUGUCCAGGGCUUCACGCAUGCUACAAUGGCUGGUACAGAGAGUGGCGAGCCUGUGAGGGUGAGCGAAUCUCGGAAAGCCGGUCUCAGUUCGGAUUGGGGUCUGCAACUCGACCUCAUGAAGUCGGAGUCGCUAGUAAUCGCAGAUCAGCAACGCUGCGGUGAAUACGUUCCCGGGGCUUGUACACACCGCCCGUCAAGUCAUGAAAGUUGGUAACACCCGAAGCCGGUGGCCUAACCGUUGUGGGGGAGCCGUCGAAGGUGGGACUGGUGAAAA
Molecule: ribosomal RNA, 1436 nt
Filed under: uncultured organism
Description: partial small subunit ribosomal RNA
Rfam family: Bacterial small subunit ribosomal RNA
Source: RNAcentral